CUGCAGGAGAACAUGCAGAUCAAGAAUAGGUCUCUUCAGCCACCUAAGAAUGCACCCUCAAGACCCCACAGCUGGAAGACCAUCAUCCUUGAACUACGAGGGAUUGCUUAAGUAAGUAAGUACCCCACCCCGCCAUGUUAUGCUCACAACAGCCUUACUAUUGUGAUUCUUUUACUACUAAACCUUUAGAUACACAAACAAGUUGUCUUUUACUCAUGCUUUUUUAUUUUAAAAAGUGAUGUUACAAUUCCAAUUCAGUUGUGAAAACCUUCUCAUAGUACUCAGUAACAGCACAGAGAUGUAUAGCUGGAUCACUGCAGUUAACAUUUAGAAACAAAAUGACAUCAUUUGUUGACAGUGCCCCAGUUGCUAUCUUUCUCAAUCACACCAUUUUAUUCUUUUUUCAGAGUCCCACUCCCAGCUGCUGCUGGCAUUUGCUUCCAGUAAUUACGUAAUGGUUUAAUUGUAAGCGUAUAAGCAAGCUCACUGACUUUUCACAUGACUAAAAAAACAUAGCCUGCCAGUAUUUGCAAUGUUUAUUACAUUUACAUUUUUCAAAUUUGUAUGCCCUUAGUACAAAAUUAUGAAUGUGACCAGUCAUGUUUUUGUUAUAAUAAAGCAAUAAAACUGACAAACCCAUUCAUGCACUAGUUACAUCCAGACUAGAUGUACUGAGGUUUCUUCAGUAUAAGCUUCUGAAGGUGCCAUAAAUCUAGCUGUUUUGGAAGUAGGAACUGCUUUUGAGUCUUCCUACCUGGAUAGUAACCAGUUUCAGACUCCAGACCUUUAUCAUGAUAGCUGCUAUGGCAAUGCAGCCAGUGUGAUGUCUCAUGGGCCUUGUAGUCCCGUUCCUAGUACUAUUGUGGCAGACGAAGAGGAAAACAUGGGAUUCCCACCGAUUCAGCCAGAAUCGGAGCCCCUGCACCUGCAGGAUGUUUGCCCUCAAGAAGUCAGCCAAACAAGCCUUGGGCAGAAUUCUCCCCCGUUUUCUCGAAAGGACAAUUAUAAUAGAGAUAGAGGAGCUAGGGAGGCGAAUCGCCGGAGCGCCAGAAUCGCAGCCAAACAAUUAGCUGAUUAGGUCUGCUUCCCUUGGGAAAUUCUAAGGAGUCAUGCAUCUGGACAGAGUUGGGUUUCACUUCUAGUUCUCCAGGGAAAGUGUUCUUCUGGCGGGAAACGAGACCCUAUUUAGGUGUUUUGCCGCGAAGGAAACCUUGUGGAGUCUACUCGUCAGCUUGAGGAGUGAGAUCGUGUGUGGACUACGCUACCUCAGUUCCUUGUUUCCAUGACCAAGUUCCAAGCCUGCCUUGUUCCCCGGACCUCGCCACGGACCUUGUUCUUGCUUCUUGGUUGCCUCGUAUCAAGUCUUGUUUAGCCAAGAAUCUAGUUUGUUUUCCAGCCUUGUUGUCAAGCUUCAAUGGACUAAAAGACCUUGUCAUCUCCCCACACUUUUGCUUGGCAAAGUGUGUGUUUCGGUUAUUGGAUUAUAACUUUGGACUUUAAUAUCACAUAUUGGACAUUAAUUUCCUGGACUAUAUUUGACCUUUCCUGAAAGGUCUACUUCUGAACUAUAUUCUUCACUUGUCUUUAUUGACUUUAUAUAUUCUUUUAAUAAAGAUAUUAGAUAGAA
Molecule: long non-coding RNA, 1627 nt
Organism: Anolis carolinensis (green anole)
Lineage: Eukaryota; Metazoa; Chordata; Lepidosauria; Squamata; Anolidae
Exons: 2
Source: RefSeq, a predicted model, not a curated record